UGGGGAAUUUUGCACAAUGGGGGAAACCCUGAUGCAGCGACGCCGCGUGAUUUAGAAGGCCUUCGGGUUGUAAAAAUCUUUUCUUUGGGAAGAAAAUGACAGUACCAUAGGAAUAAGGACCGGCUAAUUACGUGCCAGCAGCCGCGGUAAUACGUAAGGUCCGAGCGUUGUCCGGAAUCAUUGGGAGUAAAGGGUACGUAGGCGGGUAAGCAAGUUAGAAGUGAAAUCCUAUAGCUCAACUAUAGUAAGCUUUUAAAACUGCUCAUCUUGGGGUAUGGAAGGGAAAGUGGAAUUCCUAGUGUAGCGGUGAAAUGCGCAGAUAUUAGGAGGAAUACCGGUGGCGAAGGCGACUUUCUGGCCAUAACCUGACGCUGAGGUACGAAAGCGUGGGUAGCAAACAGG
This 402-nucleotide ribosomal RNA is filed under the name bacterium. Its description in RNAcentral is "partial 16S ribosomal RNA". It matches the Rfam family "Bacterial small subunit ribosomal RNA", at positions 355 to 776 of the family's 1533-position model. The record is from RNAcentral.